AUAGCGACUAUCGUGGCAUAUCAAUAAGCGGAGGAAAAGAAACUAACAAGGAUUCCCUUAGUAACGGCGAGUGAAGCGGGAAGAGCUCAAAUUUGAAAUCUUCAAGGUUUUACCUUGACGAAUUGUAGUUUAAAGAAGUGUUUUCUGUUGGAGUUUUGGUAAAAGUUCUUUGGAAUAGGACAUCAUAGAGGGUGAGAAUCCCGUAUUUGACCAUUACUUCCAGCUGUUGUGAUACACUUUCAAAGAGUCGGAUUGUUUGGGAAUGCAGUCCAGAAUGGGUGGUAAAUUUCAUCUAAAGCUAAAUAUUGGCGAGAGACCGAUAGCGAACAAGUACCGUGAGGGAAAGAUGAAAAGAACUUUGAAAAGAGAGUUAAACAGUACGUGAAAUUGUCAAAAGGGAAGCGUUUGACACCAGUGUUGUUUUCCGAAAAUCAAUUACGAAUGUUUUAUUUUCUGAGGAGUUAUGACUUCAUCGGCUUGCCUUCUCUCUUUACUGAAACUUUUGUAAUGCACUUUUCGGUUAACAAGUCAACAUCAAUUUCUUUUGUUGUAAAAGAGGUAUGCGGAAGGUGGCUUUCUUUUCGGAGAAAGUGUUUAUAGCCUUGUAGCCUCUGCAAUCGGAGAGAUUGAGGUCUGCAGCGUAGAUCCUUCGGGGUUAGAUACGUUUGUGCUAAGUUAUAGCUUUCAUAGACAACUUGUUGACUAUGUUUAGUCUUGUAGCUUACUCGCUGAUGCUAUUUUACCUACGCUUAGGAUGUUGACGAGACUGUCGAUCUC
RNAcentral lists this ribosomal RNA (777 nucleotides) under uncultured Neocallimastigales. RNAcentral describes it as "partial large subunit ribosomal RNA". It matches the Rfam family "Eukaryotic large subunit ribosomal RNA", at positions 22 to 645 of the family's 3401-position model. The record is from RNAcentral. Lineage: Eukaryota; Fungi; Neocallimastigomycota; Neocallimastigomycetes; Neocallimastigales.